This 425-nucleotide ribosomal RNA is filed under the name uncultured bacterium. RNAcentral's name for it is "partial 16S ribosomal RNA". It matches the Rfam family "Bacterial small subunit ribosomal RNA", at positions 354 to 796 of the family's 1533-position model. The record is from RNAcentral.
GUGGGGAAUAUUGGACAAUGGGCGCAAGCCUGAUCUAGCCAUGCCGCGUGAGCGAUGAAGGCCUUAGGGUUGUAAAGCUCUUUCAGCUGGGAAGAUAAUGACGGUACCAGCAGAAGAAGCCCCGGCUAACUCCGUGCCAGCAGCCGCGGUAAUACGGAGGGGGCUAGCGUUGUUCGGAAUUACUGGGCGUAAAGCGCACGUAGGCGGAUCAGAAAGUCAGAGGUGAAAUCCCAGGGCUCAACCUUGGAACUGCCUUUGAAACUCCUGAUCUUGAGGUCGAGAGAGGUGAGUGGAAUUCCGAGUGUAGAGGUGAAAUUCGUAGAUAUUCGGAGGAACACCAGUGGCGAAGGCGGCUCACUGGCUCGAUACUGACGCUGAGGUGCGAAAGCGUGGGGAGCAAACAGGAUUAGAUACCCCGGUAGUCC